This 242-nucleotide unclassified non-coding RNA is filed under the name uncultured fungus. RNAcentral's name for it is "sequence contains ITS2". The stretch from base 1 to 52 matches the Rfam family "5.8S ribosomal RNA", at positions 103 to 154 of the family's 154-position model. Lineage: Eukaryota; Fungi. The record is from RNAcentral.
AACGCACAUUGCGCCCGCCAGUAUCCUGGCGGGCAUGCCUGUUCGAGCGUCAUUUCAACCCUCAGGCCCUGCCUGGUGUUGGGGACCUGCUGCCCGCAGCCCCCGAAAGACAGCGGCGGCGUCGACCCGGCUCCGAGCGUAGUAGCAUACGUCGCUCUGGGUGCCGGGCGGGCUCCUGCCGUGAGAACCCCCUAAUUCUCUUGGUUGACCUCGGAUCAGGUAGGAAUACCCGCUGAACUUAA